GUGCUCGCCUCGGCAGCAUAUAUAGUAAAAUUGGAAUGAUAAAGAGAUUAGCAUGGCCCCUACAAGGAUGACACGCAAAUUUGUGAAGCAUUCCAUAUUUUA
Jaculus jaculus (lesser Egyptian jerboa) is the source of this 102-nucleotide small nuclear RNA. NCBI's taxonomy places the organism in Eukaryota, Metazoa, Chordata, Mammalia, Rodentia, Dipodidae. The record is from Ensembl.